This 254-nucleotide ribosomal RNA is filed under the name uncultured bacterium. RNAcentral's name for it is "partial 16S ribosomal RNA". It matches the Rfam family "Bacterial small subunit ribosomal RNA", at positions 524 to 776 of the family's 1533-position model. The record is from RNAcentral.
UACGUAGGGUGCGAGCGUUUAAUCGGAAUUACUGGGCGUAAAGCGUGCGCAGGCGGUUUUGUAAGCCAGAUGUGAAAUCCCCGGGCUUAACCUGGGAAUGGCAUUUGGGACUGCAAGGCUUGAGUGCGGCAGAGGAGACUGGAAUUCCUGGUGUAGCAGUGAAAUGCGUAGAUAUCGGGAGGAACACCAGUGGCGAAGGCGGCUACCUGGACCAGCAUUGACACUCAAGCACGAAAGCGUGGGGAGCAAACAGG